This 271-nucleotide long non-coding RNA is filed under the name Lathyrus oleraceus (garden pea). Its description in RNAcentral is "Pisum sativum (pea) long non-coding RNA (PSAT_LNC032015)". Lineage: Eukaryota; Viridiplantae; Streptophyta; Magnoliopsida; Fabales; Fabaceae. The record is from RNAcentral.
UCACAUAAAAAAUUUCAUGAUCAUUGGAUGCUUUUCUAUUUUAAUUUGGAUUUUCUUAUUUGGAUGUCCAAUUGUGUGCACCUUGCUUGCCUUUGUGUUACGUGGAUCAUUUGAUGGCUUUGGCUUAUGAUUUGGUUUUGGUCCUUUUGAGGACUCUUUCUUGAUUGAUUGAAUAUGUUUCAUGUGAAAUAUUGACUUCUGUUUUGGUCAUUUGACUUGCCUUUGACCCUAGUCUUUGUACUAGUGGUUUGUACUCACCAAUUGUGUUUUG